Molecule: ribosomal RNA, 399 nt
Filed under: Triticum aestivum (bread wheat)
Lineage: Eukaryota; Viridiplantae; Streptophyta; Magnoliopsida; Poales; Poaceae
Description: partial small subunit ribosomal RNA
Source: RNAcentral
CGCUGGCAGAAUAAGAUCAGGCAUUUGAGAAGUUUUCUGCGUGGAUGGGCUAAGCAUCUUAGUGGGAUCUAUAAGGUCGAAAAGGAAAGGCUCCUUAACCUUAUUCAGUCCUUAGAUGUAAAAGCAGAAACCACUGUUCUGCCACCCUCGGAGCUUCAUGCCAAGCUUGACGCGGAGAUGAGGCUGAAAGAGCUUCUUCGAGAGGAGGAAUUGAAGUGGGCGUUGCGGGCCAAGGUCCGGCGAGUAGUCCAGGGGGACGCGAACACUCAAUUCUUUCACAUGGUCGCUAAUGGUAAACAUAGAAAGAAGAGGAUCGUCCAGCUUGAGCAAGAUGAAGGAACGAUUUUAGGACAGGAAAACCUAAAACUAUACAUUACCGAGUAUUACAAGCAGUUGUUU